Molecule: ribosomal RNA, 343 nt
Filed under: uncultured bacterium
Lineage: Bacteria
Description: bacterial SSU rRNA
Rfam family: Bacterial small subunit ribosomal RNA
Source: RNAcentral
AGGGUUUGAUCAUGCUCAGGACGAACGCUGGCGGCGUGCUUAACACAUGCAAGUCGAACGGAGCGCUUCAAACGGAGAUUUCGGUCAAAGAUUGGAGCUGCUUAGUGGCGGACUGGUGAGUAACGCGUGAGGAACCUGCCUUUCAGAGGGGGACAACAGUUGGAAACGACUGCUAAUACCGCAUGAUACAUUUUGAUCGCAUGAUUGAAAUGUCAAAGAUUUAUCGCUGAAAGAUGGCCUCGCGUCUGAUUAGCUAGUUGGCAGGGUAACGGCCUACCAAGGCGACGAUCAGUAGCCGGACUGAGAGGUUGACCGGCCACAUUGGGACUGAGAUACGGCCCAG